RNAcentral lists this long non-coding RNA (538 nucleotides) under Hordeum vulgare. Its description in RNAcentral is "long non-coding RNA (HVUL_LNC006573)". The record is from RNAcentral. Lineage: Eukaryota; Viridiplantae; Streptophyta; Magnoliopsida; Poales; Poaceae.
GCAUACAAAGCUCACCGACUCAGUUCAUCGCAAGAACCAGUUGAACCUAAUUACAGAAUCACUGUUUCGCCUUUCACCUUUCACUCAGCUUUCUGACGCUCUGUGUUUCGCCUUUCACCUGCAGGUUCCGUUGCCGGAGGCGGCCGAGCCCACAACACCGGGCACCGGAUUUGAAGUGGCAUUUAAAUUGUGAAAUUUGGUGAAAAUAUAAUGUAAUUUUUCAAUGAAUAGUCUUGAUUUAGCACAUAGAAAACACUAAUGGUUUGGAUUCAUCCUAUAAGUAUUAACGUUUAUGAUAUAGGCUGUAGAAUUUUCCUAAUAUUUACCAUGUGAGAAUGUCUAAGUGUGAGCAAAUAUAUGUGGGUGUACUUUAUUGGUAUGCCUAUUGUGUUUCAUAUGUAUUGUUCUUUAUUGAGUCAAUUGGGAAAUCCUUGCUUCUUUUAAUAUUAAUAAUACAAAUAGGUGCCUUCAAUUAUGCUACUACCAUAGAACUGUAAGGUGGUUUAUCUUGUCUGUCCCUUAUUCCAGGCUCUUGGGC